AUUGAACGCUGGCGGCAUGCUUUACACAUGCAGGUCGAACGGCAGCGCGGGCUUCGGCCUGGCGGCGAGUGGCGAACGGGUGAGUAAUGCAUCGGAACGUGCCCAGUAGUGGGGGAUAGCCCGGCGAAAGCCGGAUUAAUACCGCAUACGACCUGAGGGUGAAAGCGGGGGACCGAAAGGCCUCGCGCUAUUGGCGCGGCCGAUGUCGGAUUAGCUAGUUGGUGGGGUAAAGGCUUACCAAGGCGACGAUCCGUAGCUGGUCUGAGAGGACGACCAGCCACACUGGGACUGAGACACGGCCCAGACUCCUACGGGAGGCAGCAGUGGGGAAUUUUGGACAAUGGGGGCAACCCUGAUCCAGCCAUGCCGCGUGCGGGAAGAAGGCCUUCGGGUUGUAAACCGCUUUUGUUCGGGAAGAAAUCCUCUGGGCUAAUACCCCGGGGGGAUGACGGUACCGGAAGAAUAAGCACCGGCUAACUACGUG
This 484-nucleotide ribosomal RNA is filed under the name uncultured bacterium. RNAcentral describes it as "partial 16S ribosomal RNA". It matches the Rfam family "Bacterial small subunit ribosomal RNA", at positions 28 to 507 of the family's 1533-position model. The record is from RNAcentral.